UACAGAGGUCUCGAGCGUUAGGCGGAAUCACUGGGCUUAAAGCGUGUGUAGGCGGAUCGUUAAGUGCCUUGUGAAAUCCCACGGCUCAACCGUGGAACUGCUUGGCAUACUGGCGGUCUUGAGCAACCUAGGGGCGAGCGGAACAAAUGGUGGAGCGGUGAAAUGCGUAGAGAUCGGGAGGAACACCCGUGGCGAAGGCGGCCAACUGGGCCGGACCUGACGCUGAGGCGCGAAGGCGUGGGGAGCGAACGGG
This 253-nucleotide ribosomal RNA is filed under the name uncultured bacterium. Its description in RNAcentral is "partial 16S ribosomal RNA". It matches the Rfam family "Bacterial small subunit ribosomal RNA", at positions 524 to 776 of the family's 1533-position model. The record is from RNAcentral.